Non-coding RNA from Hydra vulgaris (swiftwater hydra), 527 nucleotides. The record is from RefSeq and is a predicted model, not a curated record. Lineage: Eukaryota; Metazoa; Cnidaria; Hydrozoa; Anthoathecata; Hydridae.
GAACGAGAACAGAAUAAAAACGAUAAUUUUAAAUUUUCGAACGGAAUAAAAACUGAAUCGAAAAUUAUUUUAAAACGAAAUAUUUUCGUUCUAGAUUUGAAACGAGUUGAAUUAUUUGAUAUAUAUAAUUAUUAUAUUACAAUACAUUAUAAUGAUAUAUUAUUCGAACUUAAUUGAAUUUUAUUCAAUUAAGUUUGAAUAAGUUUAGUUAUGAUAUAGUUCGAAUAUAUUUAUUCGAAUAUAUUUUUUCGAACUAAAAAAAAUCAAACUGUAAGACCAACACAACUACGCGAUGAGUUUGAGUAAACUUUUUGCUGGUAGGAAGAGGAAUAGUUCAGUAUGGAAAUGGUUUAAAUACGAUGCGUCAUCCGACAAAUCAGUAUGUUUAGUUUUACUUGAUGGUGAAAAAGUAUGCAAUACAAAGUUGUGUGGAAAGAACCCAACAAAUCUUAAACUACAUUUAGCAAGAAACCAUAAGUCUGUACACGUUGAGCUGGAAGAGUCGGAAUUAAAGAAAUUAAGUGAAA